GCAUAUAGACAUUGUCUUUUUAUUAUUAGCCUGCAAGUGCUCCUGCAACCCCUCUAAUAAAUAAGCAGCGCCCAACUUUUAUGAGGUCCAAUACUAUUUCCAAACCAUAUGUUUCAAACAUCCUGCCAUCGGAUGCACCCAAGAAGAGGCGUGCUCCAUUGCCUCCAAUGCCAGCAUCUCAGAGUGCCCCUCAGGACCUUACAAACAUCCAGGAGAGGCCAGCUUCUUGUGUGGUGAAAUCCACAAGUGUGGAGGAGACUGAUAAGGUGGGUAGGUUUGUUUUGUUUUACAGGAUGAGACAAGGUUACGUAACUUAGACCCCCAAGAAAGUUAGUAACAGUUAUUAAUAUGUAAUAACAUGAAUAAGUACUUAACUAAAAUUGGUACUGGAAAAAGAUUAUAUGUAGUUUGAUUCAAUGAAAAAUAAGUUGCUAUUUUAUGGAGCUUUUUUUUAUUCAAGCAAAUAGCUGGUCUAUAAACAUUAUGUCUUACUUAAUGCAUAUAUUACAGAUGAAAAUGCUUAUUUUCAAAUGAAAAUGUUUUUAAACAACAGUCUUUGUGCUAAUUCAUGGGCUUCUAAUUUGUAUGUCUUCUUUACCUAAUUUUGAGAUUCUGCAGAGGAAAUACUUGUGUCUACCUAAAAUCAAUACUAAAUCAACAUAUUGUGAUUACCUUUAUGUGUUCUUAUGUUCAAAUCAUUGUUCUAUGUGUACCUUUUCCUUUAAGUUUUACUUUUAUUCUUCUUUAUUGUCUUAUUUUUAC
This 762-nucleotide long non-coding RNA is filed under the name Marmota monax (woodchuck). The record is from RNAcentral. Lineage: Eukaryota; Metazoa; Chordata; Mammalia; Rodentia; Sciuridae.